Molecule: ribosomal RNA, 382 nt
Filed under: uncultured eukaryote
Lineage: Eukaryota
Description: partial 18S ribosomal RNA
Rfam family: Eukaryotic small subunit ribosomal RNA
Source: RNAcentral
UGUAAGCGUAUACCAAAGUUGUUGCAGUUAAAACGCUCGUAGACGGAAUUUGGCAGUUCCGGAUGUGUGCACGUCGUGUGCGCACUUCGCGGGGAUUGCUUUUGUGGUCUUGCGUAGGAUGAGGCACUUUUAUUAGUGAACGUCCUCACGCAACCACUUUUUACUGUGAGAAAAUCAGAGUGCUCAAAGCAGGCAUUUGCCGUGAAUGUAUUAGCAUGGAAUAAUAGAAUAGGACUUGGUUCUAUUUUGUUGGUUUGUUGGGACUGAGUAAUGAUUAAGAGGGACAGUUGGGGGCAUUUGUAUUUCGGUGCUAGAGGUGAAAUUCUUAGAUUACCGAAAGACAAACUGCUGCGAAAGCGUCUGCCAAGGAUGUUUUCAUUGA